GAUUUCAGAGGAAACUUCAGUCAUGAGGUUUCUUUUCCUAACCUUUGCAUUGCUUCUUCUCUUCUAUGUUUCUUCAGGACAACCUGAUACCUGUGUGAAGAAAGGUGGCUUCUGCCAGAUUGGCCUCCAGAAAAAAUGUGUGUAUGGAAGUCUCCCGUACAACUGUGGCAUUAAUGCCAAGUGCUGCAAGCGUUUGCCGCAGUGAAACCACCAAUGACAAGCACCUGUGGAGGUGUGAAGCCCUGGGAGUUUAUUGCCAUGUUCCCUAACAAGAACUUUGCCUUUCUAAUCUGCAAUAUUCAGCCAAUUAUGGCAUCAAUGGAAGAUGUUGCAAACAGUUAUGUAACAACAAGCAGUGAAACAACAGUGUAAUUAAACAAUUUAAUGAAUUUAGAUCAAACAUUUGAAUUUUGAAUUAUAUUUUGAAAGCACCGGCUGCAAGUGCUGAUUUGAGUUUGAUUAAUGUGUUCCUAUGAAAUAAUGAACAAUUGCAUCCAUAAACUUUCC
Pantherophis guttatus is the source of this 507-nucleotide long non-coding RNA. RefSeq lists it as uncharacterized. The record is from RefSeq and is a predicted model, not a curated record. Lineage: Eukaryota; Metazoa; Chordata; Lepidosauria; Squamata; Colubridae.